Molecule: long non-coding RNA, 578 nt
Filed under: Accipiter nisus (Eurasian sparrowhawk)
Lineage: Eukaryota; Metazoa; Chordata; Aves; Accipitriformes; Accipitridae
Description: lncRNA (ENSANIG00000005768.1)
Source: RNAcentral
GCCGCUGUGUGGCGGAACCGGCCCCUCCCCUCCGCGGGCGGCGCCAUUUUACCCCCCCUCUCGCAGCGUGUGCGCCUCGGCUGCUGUGGCGGCUGAGGGGAGGGGGGGGCGAGCGGAGAGAGAGAGAGAGAGAGGCCGUCACCGCCGCUGCCGCCGCCGCUUUUCGCCCCCCUCCCUCGUUUCUUGCCUCGGCCCGGGCAGCGUGUGGAGGGGAAGGGACGAGGUUCAGUUCCUGCCCCUCGCUUUCCCCUUUGGGAUGGCCGCACACGGGGUGGGGGGGACCGGGCACCACCAAGCCAGGCUGCUCCUACCCUCCUUCCUUCCUUCCUUCCUCCCCUGCACAUCUUAGCCUCCUCCUCCUCCUCCAUCCAUCCAUCCAUCCAUCCCCGGGGGUGAGCCUUGGAAUGAGCAGCACUGUUGCUAGCCCGAUGUCAACAGUUGCCUCUUCAAGCAGUGGAAGGAAAUCAACAAGCUUUACACCUGAAUUGCAAAGUAUGAUCCUGUACCUUGAAGACCAUCAGUGUGGAUGCAUGAAUGGGCCACAUACAGCCUUCCUGAAGUUACUGGAAUUCAUCUGA